Molecule: long non-coding RNA, 397 nt
Filed under: Homo sapiens (human)
Lineage: Eukaryota; Metazoa; Chordata; Mammalia; Primates; Hominidae
Description: non-protein coding lnc-GXYLT2-3:1
Source: RNAcentral
CGGAACUUUCAAAACCCCCGGGCGGAGAAAGGGCGUGGCGAGUGGUGCCUGGGAGCCGGCGUUGAACCGGCGGGAUGACUAGCAACCGAGCCUUUUUCGAGGUUCUUAGAGAUGAUUUUAACAGCACUGGCUUGACAGUGUCUUUGCCUCAGAGAUUUUCUUCAUUUUCCCACCAGCUCAGUCAUGCAUAUCAAAAGAAGUUUAUGCACAAUUGAAGGACACCAACUAAAAUUUGAACAAAUAAGAGAUUUGUAACUGGGGAUCCCCUGGAAGAAUCGUCUGGAAAUUACGACCUUCAUCUGGCGAUUGCAGCUGUUAAAGUCUCCAAAGAAGCCAUUCUUACAUUGUGUUGUGAAAUUAUUACUCUAUCUCAAAUCUGUGCCAGAAAGAAAAUAAA